GCCCCGGUAGCUCAGCCUGGUGGAGCGCCUCACUGGUAAUGGUGGUUGACCGCCUAGUGAGGAGGUCCCGGGUUCGAAUCCCGGCCGGGGCU
Thermoproteus tenax Kra 1 is the source of this 92-nucleotide transfer RNA. It matches the Rfam family "tRNA". From Rfam's summary of the family: Transfer RNA (tRNA) molecules are approximately 80 nucleotides in length. The record is from Rfam. Lineage: Archaea; Thermoproteati; Thermoproteota; Thermoprotei; Thermoproteales; Thermoproteaceae.